This 434-nucleotide ribosomal RNA is filed under the name uncultured Faecalibacterium sp. RNAcentral describes it as "partial 16S ribosomal RNA". It matches the Rfam family "Bacterial small subunit ribosomal RNA", at positions 341 to 792 of the family's 1533-position model. Lineage: Bacteria; Bacillati; Bacillota; Clostridia; Eubacteriales; Oscillospiraceae. The record is from RNAcentral.
ACGGAAGGCAGCAGUGGGGAAUAUUGCACAAUGGGGGAAACCCUGAUGCAGCGACGCCGCGUGGAGGAAGAAGGUCUUCGGAUUGUAAACUCCUGUUGUUAGGGACGAUAAUGACGGUACCUAACAAGGAAGCCACGGCUAACUACGUGCCAGCAGCCGCGGUAAAACGUAGGUGGCAAGCGUUGUCCGGAAUUACUGGGUGUAAAGGGAGCGCAGGCGGACCGGCAAGUUGGAAGUGAGACCCACGGGCUCAACGUGUGGGCUGCUGGCAAAAGUGUCGGUCUUGAGUAGUGUAGAGGUAGGCGGAAAUCCCGGUGUAGCGGUGGAAUGCGUAGAUAUCGGGAGGAACACCAGUGGCGAAGGCGGCCUACUGGGCACCAACUGACGCAGAGGCUAGAAAGUAUGGGUAUCAAACAGGAUUAGAUACCCUGGUA